ACCUGGCUGGCUCAGUCAAUAGAGCGUAUGACUCUUGAUCUUGAGGGUCGUGAGUUCAAGCCCCACAUUGGGUG
This 74-nucleotide transfer RNA is filed under the name Felis catus (domestic cat). It matches the Rfam family "tRNA". From Rfam's summary of the family: Transfer RNA (tRNA) molecules are approximately 80 nucleotides in length. RNAcentral also lists the same sequence under 2 other names. The record is from Rfam by way of RNAcentral. Lineage: Eukaryota; Metazoa; Chordata; Mammalia; Carnivora; Felidae.